GUCAAAUUCCUGCCUGUACAAUGACACUGCUUGUAUUGGCUCAUUAGAAAUAUCUAAAUGAUCUUCUGGGAGAUUGUGUGGGCAGCGAUGUCGGCUGAAAUAAAAGAUGAAGAAAAUAAAAGUAAGAAUAAACAGGUUUUUCGUCAUAACACGAGAUAAGAUUUUAAAUCGACAUGACUUUCCAUUGAGAGUUGAAGAGAGCUAAUACCAUUUAUGGUAUUAGUGAUCGAUGUUGCUCGCGGCACAUUAAAUUAAUUAGUAGGACACAUCAAUGUAUCGACAACUUAUUGGAAUUCAUGUAUCAAGAAUUUGUCAGUCUAUUUAUGAAAGCUGUUGUGAAGAAAAAAAAAAAAAAACAUUUUAUUUUCCAUUUUUGCAAUGAAACUUUAGACAUUUGGAAAAUCUGUUCUACGUAAUACAUAUUAAAUCGAUUUAUUCGAUGGAAUAAAUACUAAUAAGAGCAAAAAAACACUGACAACAUAAGAUUGCCAUGAAAAAUUAAAUAUGAACGAUUGAAACGCGUAGGUAGCUGAUGAUUCUAAUUAGGAAUAAACAGAGGAGGUAGCUACAAUGAUUAAAUUCUAUAAAUCAUCGGUGAAGGCAUCAGUGGCCCACAUACCAUUAGUCAUCGAUCUAAAAAAUGUGAGUAAAUAAAGCGGUAUAAUACUA
Long non-coding RNA from Cotesia glomerata, 669 nucleotides. RefSeq lists it as uncharacterized. The transcript is spliced from 3 exons. The record is from RefSeq and is a predicted model, not a curated record. Lineage: Eukaryota; Metazoa; Arthropoda; Insecta; Hymenoptera; Braconidae.